Pistacia vera is the source of this 1790-nucleotide long non-coding RNA. RefSeq lists it as uncharacterized. NCBI's taxonomy places the organism in Eukaryota, Viridiplantae, Streptophyta, Magnoliopsida, Sapindales, Anacardiaceae. The transcript has 12 exons. The record is from RefSeq and is a predicted model, not a curated record.
GAUGUGGAAGGCAAUGAUACACUCUGCCUGGGGUCCUUAAUUAGAAGAUUUAGACCAAAACUGCUAGAUGCCACAAACACUAUGCUUAAUCUUGAACAAUGAAUUUCUUCGGUUAUUUUGCAAAGUUUGACUUCAAAAGUUAUUCAUGCUGGAGAAUUGUAAGGAUGAUUGUAAAAUUCUGAUGAAGCCUUUACAAAGCUUAUGAUUUUCAAGCCUAUUGCCUACGGGUAUGGUUUGUGGAGACUAGAAGGAAGCUGCGAUUUCAGAGCGCUCCCGAACUUUGGUGGACAUCAGCAACCCUUAUACUGUACAUGAUAAGCUGUGCAAUAAGGUGAGUGAGGAGGCAAACAGCUCAUAAACCAUGGAUUGUUUGAAAGGGCAAUGGCAGAUUAGCUAUUCAUGUCUGCCCAUGUUUCCGUUCUGAAAUGCCCCAUUCUUCACCUCCAGCUCCGAGCAAGCUGACUUUUUCAUCUUCACCGAAGAGGAAUUAGAUUGGUUACAAUGAUCAAACAAAGCAAUUCCAUUUGUCAGAUCACUUCCUUGCUGUCCGUGUUGUGAUAUUCUUUGCAGAAUCUCUCAUUCGCACACGCUUUCUUUGUUCAGUAGCAGAAGAUAUUCAGUUGAUUUUUGUGACAGCUAAAGGGACAGACAUUUUGUAUGCAAAAUGAGUAAUUCUUCUGCCAUACAAUCUUGAAAACAAAAGGCAGGAUCCUUGUAGCCUAAUGAAACAACUUCCUUUAAGCGCAAGCGAUGAGUCUUUCAAAAAGAUUUGCAGCACAUGAUGUACGAUUUUGGCAAUGAUCCUAAUAUUCAGCUGAUUGCUGUCGUCACUUGUUGUUCAUUGAGGUUACUUCUUGUUCAUUCGGUUGACUCUAGCCAAUUGGUUUUGGGGGAUUUUGUGAAUUUGCCACUUCCAGAAACUUUGACACUUGUGGAGUACAUAGUUGUGGAAUAUUUCACAAAUUUGAAUGUGUAGAGUUCUAAAGAAGAUUAAGGCCAUUCUUUGUGUGCAAGCUGGAAUUUGUUUGUAUUUCUUCAGAUAGACUGCAGCUCCAUAUUCCUGAAGAUGAAGAGGAUGUUUCGUUCAGCUAUCUUCAUUGAUAUUGUCUUGAAAUUUGGUUGAAUGGGCUGGAGAAUUAUGGGGAUGUUUGUGAAAUUUUGCUGAAGCCCUUUCAAAGCUUAUGAUUUUCAAGCCUAGUGCCUAUAGGCAUGGUUUGUGGAGACUAGAAGGAAGCUGUGAUCUCAAGUUAUCAAAGUUUUCUUAAAAUCCAGUCAGUUGUGUUCGGUGGACAGUUGCUCUUCUUCUAAUAAGGCAUGGAGCUCCAUUUUGAUUUGGAAGCCAAUGAUCGAUACACUCCCUUAUUAAAGAGUUGUCUUAUGAAGCCACUAACAAGAUUCGUAUUGCUUCACCUCCUUAAAGAGCUAUAAAUGACAGAGCUUCCAGAUCCUAAUGUAAAGCCAUAAUCCUAAAAUGAGAUGGAGAGUUGAAGCACAACAAUGCAUGCAUUCAGCACUUAAAAAUCGAUGGUUGUUUACUUCUCAAAAAUAUUCAUUGUAAGAACCCAAUUUCCUUCAUCUCUAAACCCCUCUUGGUAGAAAAUUUCUAAUAAGAGGUUAGAGCUUGGGAUAAUAGAGAGGAUACUUAUAAUUGAUGGGGCUACCACAUUCUUUCCAGAACAAGAUAUUUCCCACCUAACAUCACCUUCUGUUUAUGUUUAAGCACAAAAUUCGUGGAUGACUUAUGCAGUGAUGAAGGUUGUUUGUGGGAUUGGAUCGAUAUUUGAAAUGAG